This 440-nucleotide ribosomal RNA is filed under the name uncultured bacterium. RNAcentral describes it as "partial 16S ribosomal RNA". It matches the Rfam family "Bacterial small subunit ribosomal RNA", at positions 338 to 795 of the family's 1533-position model. The record is from RNAcentral.
CCUACGGGAUGCAGCAGUGGGGAAUAUUGCACAAUGGGGGAAACCCUGAUGCAGCGACGCCGCGUGAGUGAAGCAGUAAUUCGUUACGUAAAGCUCUAUCAGCAGGGAAGAAAAUGACGGUAACUGAGUAAGAAGCCCCGGCUAACUACGUGCCAGCAGCCGCGGUAAUACGUAGGGGGCAAGCUUUAUCCGGAUUUACUGGGUGUAAAGGGAGCGUAGACGGUGAUGCAAGUCAGAAGUGAAAGCCCGGGGCUCAACUCCGGGACUGCUUUGGAAACGGUGUAACUGGAGUGCAGGAGAGGUAUGCGGAAUUCCUGGUGUAGCGGUGAAAUGCGGAGAUAUCAGGAGGAACCCCAGUGGCGAAGGCGGCUUACUGGACUGUAACUGACGUUGAGGCUCGAAAGCGUGGGGAGCAAACAGGAUUAGAUACCCGAGUAGUC